RNAcentral lists this non-coding RNA (31 nucleotides) under Homo sapiens (human). The record is from RNAcentral. Lineage: Eukaryota; Metazoa; Chordata; Mammalia; Primates; Hominidae.
AGGGUGCAUUGCAUUGAAUCCAGCCCUGCCA